GGGCAGAAAUCAGCAUUCCCGCUUCGCUGUGAGCCAGGAUCUCGUCGUUCCAAUCUGUUGUGUCGACUCCCUCUUCUUCGGGAUAUUCGGUAGUGAGGCUCGUUUCCGACGUUUCAGUCGUCGUAUUUUCGAGCUCUUCGUUGACCUCGAUCAACUCUUCCUUCUCUUUUUGGUCUUCCUCGUCGUCCAACGGUCUUCCUUCGAUGACUUUUCCAUUAAAUCUACAGGAAGUCGAAUCCUCCGCCAUCUUGCGCUUCCAAUUUCCCCUCCGAGUUUUCUGUUACGGAUGCCGCUGGCUUGGAAUCAAGUUCCCCCGGAACCUCUGAACUGGAAGACGCUGUCGUCGUGGUUCCCUUGGUCGGUGAAAGUAAAAGAACUACGGUGGGCGACAGGCUUGCCUGGACCUUCUUCGUGAUAUUAUUGACCGAAGUAACGUUGAACAGACUUCCAAGAGAGGAAGAAAUUGUUCUCGAAUAUCUCGCUUCUCCGGACUACCGCCUGAUUUUUACCAACGCCGGAGCUUUGCCAAGGUAUACUGGACACGUUAUAAGGAUACAUGGCCCUGGGCUGCUUCCCCGUCACCAUCUCGGUAGAUCGGAUUGACGAUAAAAAUGGAACAUAGAAGACGAGCCUCUUUCGGAGGAAUAACCCGGAUGCCAACGGAAUCGGAGGAAGGAUUCAAAGUGAGGAAAACAUUUUUUUCUAAUUCGCUACUCUCGGCGUAACGUUGCUACAGCAGCGGUGUUGAAGACGCGCGCUCACUUC
Molecule: unclassified non-coding RNA, 765 nt
Filed under: Athalia rosae (coleseed sawfly)
Lineage: Eukaryota; Metazoa; Arthropoda; Insecta; Hymenoptera; Athaliidae
Description: misc RNA ENSAEAG00005006168.1
Source: RNAcentral